GAAACGUAACAAGGACGUGGUUGG
This 24-nucleotide non-coding RNA is filed under the name Arabidopsis thaliana (thale cress). Lineage: Eukaryota; Viridiplantae; Streptophyta; Magnoliopsida; Brassicales; Brassicaceae. The record is from RNAcentral.